GGUCCUAUGGCCCAAUGGAUAAGGCGUCUGACUACGAAUCAGGAGAUUCCAGGUUCGAGUCCUGGCAGGAUCG
Ciona savignyi (Pacific transparent sea squirt) is the source of this 73-nucleotide non-coding RNA. Lineage: Eukaryota; Metazoa; Chordata; Ascidiacea; Phlebobranchia; Cionidae. The record is from Rfam.